AAUUCGAUUGAGUUUGAUCAUGGCUCAGGAUAAACGCUGGCGGCGUGCCUAAUGCAUGCAAGUCGAACGGUCUAGCUCGCAAGAGUUAGGUAGUGGCAAACGGGUGAGUAACACAUGGGAAUCUGCCCAGUAGUGGGGAACAACUCUCUGAAAGGAGAGCUAAUACCGCAUACGGUCUGUGAAGACUAAAGCCUUCGGGCGCUAUUGGAGGAGCCUGCGGCUGAUUAGCUAGUUGGUGGGGUAAAAGCCUACCAAGGCGGUGAUCAGUAGCUGGUCUGAGAGGAUGGACAGCCACACUGGGACUGAGAUACGGCCCAGACUCCUACGGGAGGCAGCAGCAAGGAAUUUUCGGCAAUGGAGGAAACUCUGACCGAGCAACGCCGCGUGGGCGAAGAAGUUUUUCGGAAUGUAAAGCCCUUUUCCCUGUGAAGAAAGAAAGACGGUAACAGGGGAAUAAGCAUCGGCUAACUACGUGCCAGCAGCCGCGGUAAUACGUAGGAUGCAAGCGUUGUCCGGAAUUACUGGGCGUAAAGAGCGAGUAGGCGGAAUGCCAAGUCAGAUGUGAAAGCCCCCGGCUUAACCGGGGAGGGUCAUUUGAAACUGGCAAACUAGAGUGCAGCAGAGGCUAGCGGAAUUCCCGGUGUAGUGGUGAAAUGCGUAGAUAUCGGGAGGAACACCAGUG
Molecule: ribosomal RNA, 682 nt
Filed under: uncultured bacterium
Lineage: Bacteria
Description: bacterial SSU rRNA
Rfam family: Bacterial small subunit ribosomal RNA
Source: RNAcentral